Long non-coding RNA from Neopelma chrysocephalum (saffron-crested tyrant-manakin), 343 nucleotides. RefSeq lists it as uncharacterized. The transcript has 2 exons. Lineage: Eukaryota; Metazoa; Chordata; Aves; Passeriformes; Pipridae. The record is from RefSeq and is a predicted model, not a curated record.
UCAGUUUGGAGAUUGGGGGGGUCAAUGUGCAGGUAAAGGAGGUGGCCCCCCCCAAAAAAAAAAUCGGGGGGGGAUAAAUCUACAGGUAAAGGGGGUGCCCCCCCGAAAUUAAGGGGGGGUCGGUUUGUAGGUUGGGGGGGUCAAUGUGCAGGUAAAGGGAGUGACCCCCCCAAAAAAAAUAUGAGGUGUGUUGGGGGGGUCAAUGUGCAGGUAAAAGGGGUGACCCCCCCCCCCAAAAAAUAAGAUUUUAGGGGGGCAAUGUACAGGUGAAGUUUGUGACCCCCCCGAAAAAAAACGAGGUUGGGGGGGAUAAAUCUGCAGGUAAAGGGGGUGACCCCCCCCC